GACGAACGCUGGCGGCGUGCUUAACACAUGCAAGUCGAGCGGUAAGGCCCUUUCGGGGGUACACGAGCGGCGAACGGGUGAGUAACACGUGGGUGACCUGCCCUCAGCUCUGGGAUAAGCCUGGGAAACCGGGUCUAAUACUGGAUAUGACUCCAUGACGCAUGUUGUGGGGUGGAAAGCCUUGUGCGGCUGAGGAUGGGCCCGCGGCCUAUCAGCUUGUUGGUGGGGUGANGGCCUACCAAGGCGACGACGGGUAGCCGGCCUGAGAGGGCGACCGGCCACACUGGGACUGAGACACGGCCCAGACUCCUACGGGAGGCAGCGGUGGGGAAUCUUGCGCAAUGGGCGAAAGCCUGACGCAGCGACGCCGCGUGAGGGAUGACGGCCU
Molecule: ribosomal RNA, 388 nt
Filed under: uncultured bacterium
Lineage: Bacteria
Description: bacterial SSU rRNA
Rfam family: Bacterial small subunit ribosomal RNA
Source: RNAcentral